AAAGUUUUUCGCUAAGGGAUCGGCCUAUGUCCUAUCAGGUAGUUGGUGAGGUAAGAGCUCACCAAGCCUAUGACGGGUAGCGGGUCUGAGAGGAUGAUCCGCCACACUGGUACUGAGACACGGACCAGACUCCUACGGGAGGCAGCAGUGGGGAAUAUUGCACAAUGGACGAAAGUCUGAUGCAGCAACGCCGCGUGGAGGAUGACACAUUUCGGUGCGUAAACUCCUUUUAUAUGAGAAGAUAAUGACGGUAUCAUAUGAAUAAGCACCGGCUAACUCCGUGCCAGCAGCCGCGGUAAUACGGAGGGUGCAAGCGUUAUUCGGAAUCACUGGGCGUAAAGGGUGCGUAGGCGGUUUGGAAAGUCAGAUGUGAAAUCCUACAGCUUAACUGUAGAACUGCAUUUGAAACUUCCAGACUAGAAUACUGAAGGGGCAGAUGGAAUUAGUGGUGUAGGGGUAAAAUCCGUAGAUAUCACUAGGAAUACCGAAAGCGAAAGCGAUCUGCUGGGAAGUUAUUGACGCUGAGGCACGAAAGCGUGGGGAGCAAACGGGAUUAGAUACCCCGGUAGUCCACGCCCUAAACGAUGAAUGCUAGUCGUCGGAAAGCUCGUCUUUUCGGUGAUGCAGUUAACACAUUAAGCAUUCCGCCUGGGGAGUACGGUCGCAAGAUUAAAACUCAAAGGAAUAGACGGGGACCCGCACAAGUGGUGGAGCAUGUGGUUUAAUUCGAAGAUACGCGAAGAACCUUACCUAGCCUUGACAUUGAUAGAAUCUGAUAGAGAUAUCGGAGUGCCUGCUUGCAGGAACUUGAAAACAGGUGCUGCACGGCUGUCGUCAGCUCGUGUCGUGAGAUGUUGGGUUAAGUCCCGCAACGAGCGCAACCCUCGUCGUUAGUUGCUAACAGUUCGGCUGAGCACUCUAGCGAGACUGCCUUCGCAAGGAGGAGGAAGGUGAGGACGACGUCAAGUCAUCAUGGCCCUUAUGGCUAGGGCUACACACGUGCUACAAUGGGGCGUACAGAGAGUUGCGAUACCGCGAGGUGGAGCCAAUCUCAUAAAGCGUCUCUCAGUUCGGAUUGUUCUCUGCAACUCGAGAACAUGAAGCUGGAAUCACUAGUAAUCGUAGAUCAGCAAUGCUACGGUGAAUACGUUCCCGGGUCUUGUACUCACCGCCCGUCACACCAUGGGAGUU
RNAcentral lists this ribosomal RNA (1191 nucleotides) under uncultured Helicobacteraceae bacterium. RNAcentral describes it as "bacterial SSU rRNA". It matches the Rfam family "Bacterial small subunit ribosomal RNA", at positions 207 to 1412 of the family's 1533-position model. Lineage: Bacteria; Pseudomonadati; Campylobacterota; Epsilonproteobacteria; Campylobacterales; Helicobacteraceae. The record is from RNAcentral.